GGCAGGGGAGCCUGGGGACCCCUCUCCGGCAGGUCGGCCUUGCGAUCGUCCCUCCCCCGGGCGGGCGGGCAGUACGAUGCGGUGUCUCCCCGUCCCUCCCCCCGGGCGGGCGGGCGAUCUGCGCCGUCUCCCUCUCCCCCCCCCCCCGGCAGGCCGUGCGAGCGCGGCGGGGCGGGCACUUACCGCUCCGGCAGAUGGAGAAGCGGCGUCGUCCUCCUCCGGUGACGGCGGCCCGAUCUUGCUGCAGGUUACAGAUUCUCAAUACAGUUGGUGGACUUUUUCUGAGAAUGUCCUUCCAUUGACCAGGAGCAAACUGCAAACCUAACAAAGACCCUGGAGAGAGAGAAGAUCUGCUGUUAGCUCUAUGUUGUGAAGAUGAAUAUUCUCAAGAUUAAUGGAGUGAUAAUUCUAUUGACAUUUAUAGUUUCAUUCAUUUUUCUCUAUGUUUUGCUUUUGCUUGGUGCAAACAACAUCUAGAUUUUAGUAGAACAAACAAGCAUCUGUUCUAUAGCCUGAAUAGAGAGAAUUCAUCUUCUGGAGGUUUUUUUUUUUUUUUCUUUCUUAAAAGAUUUUCUCAGAUCCUGUCCUUUGUAUACAGUAUAAGUGGUGGAAACUGGCUGCUGAAUCCCCAAGGUCAUUAGGUGGCAGCAUUCUUAACUCUUCGCUGCCACUUAAAUGUUAUUCAAAGUGCUGCAACCAAAUCUAGUAGAGAAGGAAAAAAAAAAGGCCUGUCUAAUAACAUCCAAUCUGGAAGCCCCCUAUGGUCUUUUUCUUUCCAGCUUCUUUGCAAUAAACUCAGAACACAUGUUGAAACCCAAGAUUUGAUUAAGCAGGUAAGUUUAUAGCUAGCUAAUCUAAUGGUAGUUUUAUUUGGAAUUCUGUUUGUGCAGUUGUUGCCUUUUCUUGCGUUUCUGAAUUUCCCUUUCCCCCCCCCAACGUGUUUUUGUAUCCAGAGAUUUAGCUUAAUUCUUUUACUAAGUUCCUGAGUGCAAGAUGAGGCAGUUGGUUAGCUACCCCGUGUGUUUAAAAAUUGGAACUAAAUUGUUAAAUAUAGUACUUCUGGAUUUUAGGGCUGGAUGAUCCACAGCAUUUGCUGUUUUUCCUAGAGAUGAGGUAAAAAAAAGAAGUCCUUGGAUGGAACUCCCUAGCCAAACUAAAGAGAUUCAGGCUGAUUUCUAGCAGGCUAUCCUAACAACCUUUUGCUGGAAAAUUCCUUGAAAAAUACUGGGAUAUUUUUAAAUUAUCCCUUUUCCCAGAUCAUCCAAAUAUACAUACAUACAUACAUACAUACAUACAUACAUACAUACAUACAUAUAUUUGCAUGUCCAUCACAUAGGAAAAUUAUCCCUAUUGUUUACAGCCCCUCCAAUAUUUUGAAGAAUGAUUAUGUACGGUAGUAUAUAGGCUAAUCUAGAAGAUGUUAAAUACCACCAAUGCAACACCUUCAAUUGCCACUCUUGCUUAGAGGAAAAAAGAAAAUACUCUGACUUCCCCGCUUGCCAGUCUAAUUCAAUUAUUGGAUUUCUUAACUCUGUGUUCCAAGCAUCUUUUAAAACUGGAAAGACAAUUUCAUAAUUUGUAAUAAUAGCAUACUGUAUCAAUUUUUGACAUUAUUUCUUUUGGUUGUGUCAAAUAAUAUUAAAUUCAUAAAAAAUAGUACAGGUAGCCCUCAACUUACAGCUACAGUUGGGCCCAAAGUUCCGUUGCUAAGCAAGGCAGUUAAGUGAAUUUUGGCCCAUUUUACAACCCUUUUUGUUACAGUUGCUAAGUGAAUCGCUGCAGUUCUAAAGUAAAUUAUGAAAUCAUUCAGCUUAUCUGGCUUCCCGCCAUUAAUGUUGCCUGUCAGAAGCAGUCUAGGGGGGGUUUCAAAUGGUGAUCACAUGACCCCAAGACAGGGCAACUGUCAUAAAUACAUGCAACCUGCCAAAGGCUUUUAUUUUGAUCACAUGACCACAGGGAUGCUAUAGCAGUCGUAAAUAUGAAUCACUUUUUCAGUGCCGUUGUAACUUUGAACAGUCACUAAACAAAUGGUUGUAACUUGAAGACUCUACAUAUGGGCAGGUUCUUGACUCAAUAUUUCAGCGUUAAGCUCUUGCCAGAAAAAGCAGUAUAACUGGCAGGCAGCCCAGUGUCUAUUUCAUGGCCAAAUAUUGGUAUAAAAAUAAAUAAUCCUGUAAAAGUUAUAAUUCUUCAACAAUUUUAAUUGAUUUAACCCAUAUUAAAGUUCUGUAAAAAGUCAUUUGAAGGACUAGAGGAAAUUGCCACUCAUCAAAACUAUUUUUUUUUCAAAAUUUGAAAUAUUGUGCCAGUCAAGUAUUAUUCAUUUUGUAUAUUUUGGGGAAAUUUUUCAUCUGGAAAAAUAUAUAAUUCAAAAGAUUGCCAGCUUCUGAUAUAAUAUCUGUAUUAGCCCUCUGCUUAGUUUGGUGCUCCAUUAUAAAUGGAAUCAAAUAACUUAAUCCUGCUGGUUUAUAAUAAUUAUAUGUGAACCCCCAACUUCCCUGUGACUGAUAUAAAAUCUUUCUUUUGUUUUCUUAUAAUUGAAGCUACAGCUUUCAGUUUUCUUUGCCAUUUCAUCAGUAUUUUGUCUGGCGUUUCAAAUGAGAAGGAUCUGAAACAAAUUAAGUUUGGAAAAGACCUUCAUUUCAGUUUUAGUGAAGUUAGUAUGAUUACAAAAUAGUCUUUCAAAUGCUUUCCCAAGUUAAGUUUGUUGUAUCUAUUUGUACAAUCCAACAAUUCACUUAAAAUAAACUGAUUGUCUAUUUAAGGCAACAAUAUUCUUGAUUGCAUGACAUUCCUAAAUUUCUUGAAAAUGUAACAAUUUGUCGAUUACAAAUGCUUUCUUGAUUCCCUUAUUAGAAAAAAAAUCGCUGAUAAACUUAGAAUAAUGAACUUUCAGAGACAAGAAUCAAUUAUCAUACCUAGGCAGAUUAAAUUCCAAAACACAAAAUUGCAACAGGUGUAAUCUUGUCAAUUCUUGUUAUGUACGGAUAUGGAUAUUGGACUUUUUAAAUUAGUGGUGACUUUUACUUUUCAUUUAUUCAUAUUCUUUUUUGUAUUUGUCCUCACAGCUUCGUACAUUCUUUGUUUGCUUAAUACUUUUCUCUUUGUGUAAAUUACUAUUCAAUGUUUAAAAAUCUAAAUAAAAAACUGAAACAAGUUA
Long non-coding RNA from Crotalus tigris (Tiger rattlesnake), 3160 nucleotides. RefSeq lists it as uncharacterized. Lineage: Eukaryota; Metazoa; Chordata; Lepidosauria; Squamata; Viperidae. The transcript has 2 exons. The record is from RefSeq and is a predicted model, not a curated record.